Molecule: ribosomal RNA, 460 nt
Filed under: uncultured bacterium
Lineage: Bacteria
Description: partial 16S ribosomal RNA
Rfam family: Bacterial small subunit ribosomal RNA
Source: RNAcentral
CCUACGGGGGACAGCAGUGAGGAAUAUUGGUCAAUGGACGAGAGUCUGAACCAGCCAAGUAGCGUGAAGGAUGACUGCCCUAUGGGUUGUAAACUUCUUUUAUAUGGGAAUAAAAUGUUCCACGUGUAGGAUUUUGUAUGUACCAUAUGAAUAAGGAUCGGCUAACUCCGUGCCAGCAGCCGCGGUAAUACGGAGGAUCCGAGCGUUAUCCGGAUUUAUUGGGUUUAAAGGGAGCGUAGGUGGAUUGUUAAGUCAGUUGUGAAAGUUUGCGGCUCAACCGUAAAAUUGCAGUUGAAACUGGCAGUCUUGAGUACAGUAGAGGUGGGCGGAAUUCGUGGUGUAGCGGUGAAAUGCUUAGAUAUCACGAAGAACUCCGAUUGCGAAGGCAGUUCACUGGACUGCAACUGACACUGAGGCUCGAAAGUGUGGGUAUCAAACAGGAUUAGAUACCCCAGUAGUC